Molecule: non-coding RNA, 112 nt
Organism: Caerostris darwini
Lineage: Eukaryota; Metazoa; Arthropoda; Arachnida; Araneae; Araneidae
Source: the annotation of a GenBank genome assembly
AACGGCCGUACCAUGCUGAAUAUACCGGUUCUCGUUAGAUCACCGAAGUCAAGCAUCAUUGGGCGCGGUCAGUACUUGGGUGGGUGACCACCUGGGAACACUGCGUGCUGUU